This 517-nucleotide ribosomal RNA is filed under the name uncultured bacterium. RNAcentral describes it as "bacterial SSU rRNA". It matches the Rfam family "Bacterial small subunit ribosomal RNA", at positions 8 to 526 of the family's 1533-position model. The record is from RNAcentral.
AGAGUUUGAUCCUGGCUCAGGACGAACGCUGGCGGCGUGCUUAACACAUGCAAGUCGAACGGAAAGGCCCUUUCGGGGGUACUCGAGUGGCGAACGGGUGAGUAACACGUGGGUGAUCUGCCCUGCACUUCGGGAUAAGCUUGGGAAACUGGGUCUAAUACCGGAUAGGACUACGAAUCGCAUGGUUUGUGGUGGAAAGCUUUUGCGGUGUGGGAUGGGCCCGCGGCCUAUCAGCUUGUUGGUGGGGUGAUGGCCUACCAAGGCGACGACGGGUAGCCGGCCUGAGAGGGUGUCCGGCCACACUGGGACUGAGAUACGGCCCAGACUCCUACGGGAGGCAGCAGUGGGGAAUAUUGCACAAUGGGCGCAAGCCUGAUGCAGCGACGCCGCGUGGGGGAUGACGGCCUUCGGGUUGUAAACCUCUUUCACCACCGGCGAAGCCCAUGAUUUUUGUUGUGGGUGACGGUAGGUGGAGAAGAAGCACCGGCCAACUACGUGCCAGCAGCCGCGGUAAUUC